AUUGAACGCUGGCGGCAUGCCUUACACAUGCAAGUCGAACGGUAACGGGCCUUCGGGUGCCGACGAGUGGCGCACGGGUGAGUAAUACAUCGGAACGUGCCCGAUCGUGGGGGAUAACGGGGCGAAAGCUUUGCUAAUACCGCAUACGAUCUACGGAUGAAAGCAGGGGACCGCAAGGCCUUGCGCGGACGGAGCGGCCGAUGGCAGAUUAGGUAGUUGGUGGGAUAAAAGCUUACCAAGCCGACGAUCUGUAGCUGGUCUGAGAGGAUGAUCAGCCACACUGGGACUGAGACACGGCCCAGACUCCUACGGGAGGCAGCAGUGGGGAAUUUUGGACAAUGGGCGCAAGCCUGAUCCAGCCAUGCCGCGUGCAGGAUGAAGGCCUUCGGGUUGUAAACUGCUUUUGUACGGAACGAAAAGCCUUCUUUUAAUACAGGAGGGUCAUGACGGUACCGUAAGAAUAAGCACCGGCUAACUACGUG
RNAcentral lists this ribosomal RNA (482 nucleotides) under uncultured bacterium. RNAcentral's name for it is "partial 16S ribosomal RNA". It matches the Rfam family "Bacterial small subunit ribosomal RNA", at positions 30 to 507 of the family's 1533-position model. The record is from RNAcentral.